GCGGAAGUAGCUCAGUGGUAGAGCAUCACCUUGCCAAGGUGGGGGUCGCGGGUCCGAGUCCCGUUUUCCGCUCCA
Molecule: transfer RNA, 75 nt
Filed under: Schwartzia succinivorans
Lineage: Bacteria; Bacillati; Bacillota; Negativicutes; Selenomonadales; Selenomonadaceae
Also listed under: 3 other names
Description: tRNA-Gly
Rfam family: tRNA
About the family: Transfer RNA (tRNA) molecules are approximately 80 nucleotides in length. Their secondary structure includes four short double-helical elements and three loops (D, anti-codon, and T loops). Further hydrogen bonds mediate the characteristic L-shaped molecular structure. tRNAs have two regions of fundamental functional importance: the anti-codon, which is responsible for specific mRNA codon recognition, and the 3' end, to which the tRNAs corresponding amino acid is attached (by aminoacyl-tRNA synthetases). tRNAs cope with the degeneracy of the genetic code in two manners: having more than one tRNA (with a specific anti-codon) for a particular amino acid; and 'wobble' base-pairing, i.e. permitting non-standard base-pairing at the 3rd anti-codon position.
Source: RNAcentral